AAAAAGGUAAGCUAAGAUUAAGCUACUGGGUUCAUACCCCAUUUAUAAAGAUUCUCUUUCCUUUUUA
RNAcentral lists this transfer RNA (67 nucleotides) under Galeruca interrupta. RNAcentral's name for it is "tRNA-Met". The record is from RNAcentral. Lineage: Eukaryota; Metazoa; Arthropoda; Insecta; Coleoptera; Chrysomelidae.